UAAUACAGAGGGUGCAAGCGUUAAUCGGAUUUACUGGGCGUAAAGGGCGCGUAGGUGGUUGCGUAAGUGAGAUGUGAAAUCCCCGGGCUUAACCUGGGACGUGCAUCUUAGACUGCGUAGCUGGAGUGUUGUAGAGGGUAGUGGAAUUUCCGGUGUAGCGGUGAAAUGCGUAGAUAUCGGAAGGAACACCAGUGGCGAAGGCGGCUACCUGGACAAACACUGACACUGAGGCGCGAGAGCGUGGGGAGCAAACAGGAUUAGAUACCCUGGUAGUCCACGCUGUAAACGAUGAAAACUAGAUGUUGUUGGGCCUAGCCCCAUCAGUAUCGAAGCUAACGCGAUAAGUUUUCCGCCUGGGGAGUACGGUCGCAAGAUUA
RNAcentral lists this ribosomal RNA (377 nucleotides) under uncultured bacterium. RNAcentral's name for it is "bacterial SSU rRNA". It matches the Rfam family "Bacterial small subunit ribosomal RNA", at positions 521 to 896 of the family's 1533-position model. The record is from RNAcentral.